GAUCAAGCGUUAAAGGGCUUCUAACGGAUGCCUUGGCGUAGAGAGGCGAAGAAAGACGUGGCAAGCUGCGAUAAGAUACGGGGAGGCGCUAGCACCCUUUGAUCCGUAUAUUUCUGAAUGGGGAAACCCACCUUUGAUUGCCCUCUCAUUUUAGCGGUUCCUUCGGGGACUUCUGAGA
RNAcentral lists this non-coding RNA (178 nucleotides) under Asticcacaulis sp. YBE204. Its description in RNAcentral is "Bacterial large subunit ribosomal RNA". It matches the Rfam family "Bacterial large subunit ribosomal RNA", at positions 1 to 169 of the family's 2925-position model. The record is from Rfam by way of RNAcentral. Lineage: Bacteria; Pseudomonadati; Pseudomonadota; Alphaproteobacteria; Caulobacterales; Caulobacteraceae.